Molecule: ribosomal RNA, 253 nt
Filed under: uncultured bacterium
Lineage: Bacteria
Description: partial 16S ribosomal RNA
Rfam family: Bacterial small subunit ribosomal RNA
Source: RNAcentral
UACGUAGGGUGCAAGCGUUAAUCGGAAUUACUGGGCGUAAAGCGUGCGCAGGCGGUUCUAUAAGACAGGUGUGAAAUCCCCGGGCUCAACCUGGGAACUGCAUUUGUGACUGUAGAGCUGGAGUACGGCAGAGGGGGAUGGAAUUCCGCGUGUAGCAGUGAAAUGCGUAGAUAUGCGGAGGAACACCGAUGGCGAAGGCAAUCCCCUGGGCCUGUACUGACGCUCAUGCACGAAAGCGUGGGGAGCAAACAGG